UGAUCAUGGCUCAGAAUGAACGCUGGCGGCCUGCUUAACACAUGCAAGUCGAACGAAGCCUUCGGGCUUAGUGGCGCACGGGUGCGUAACGCGUGGGAAUCUGCCCUUGGGUUCGGAAUAACAGUUAGAAAUGACUGCUAAUACCGGAUGAUGACGAAAGUCCAAAGAUUUAUCGCCGAGGGAUGAGCCCGCGUAGGAUUAGGUAGUUGGUGAGGUAAAGGCUCACCAAGCCGAUGAUCCUUAGCUGGUCUGAGAGGAUGAUCAGCCACACUGGGACUGAGACACGGCCCAGACUCCUACGGGAGGCAGCAGUGGGGAAUAUUGGACAAUGGGCGAAAGCCUGAUCCAGCAAUGCCGCGUGAGUGAUGAAGGCCUUUGGGUUGUAAAGCUCUUUUACCCGGGAUGAUAAUGACAGUACCGGGAGAAUAAGCCCCGGCUAACUCCGUGCCAGCAGCCGCGGUAAU
Molecule: ribosomal RNA, 464 nt
Filed under: uncultured Sphingomonas sp.
Lineage: Bacteria; Pseudomonadati; Pseudomonadota; Alphaproteobacteria; Sphingomonadales; Sphingomonadaceae
Description: bacterial SSU rRNA
Rfam family: Bacterial small subunit ribosomal RNA
Source: RNAcentral